UACGGGGGGUGCGAGCGUUAAUCGGAAUAACUGGGCUUAAAGGGCACGCAGGCGGACUUUUAAGUGAGGUGUGAAAUCCCCGGGCUUAACCUGGGAAGUGCCUUUCAUACUGGGAGUCUUGAGUACUUUAGGGAGGGGUAGAAUGCCACGUGUAGCGGUGAAAUGCGUAGAGAUGUGGAGGAAUACCGAAGGCGAAGGCAGCCCCUUGGGAAUGUACUGACGCUCAUGUGCGAAAGCGUGGGGAGCAAACAGG
Molecule: ribosomal RNA, 253 nt
Filed under: uncultured bacterium
Lineage: Bacteria
Description: partial 16S ribosomal RNA
Rfam family: Bacterial small subunit ribosomal RNA
Source: RNAcentral